ACUUUUUCAAUCCUUCCUCAUCUGGGUUUUCUUUAUGGGUUAUGUUUACUCGCUAGUUUGAAAGAGUCACUUGACUAAGAAUUGUAAGAUCUGGAUACUUAACUAUGGAAGCUGCUUUAUUUAUAGCAUUGUUGCUUCUUCACAUUGUCAGAUGAGUUGUUACAAUGAUAUAUAUCCCCAUUCUGUAACUAUUAACAUUUAGGUUAAAGAAGGCAGUCUGCAAAAACACCUGUGCAUGAGCUGUUGAUACAAUCUGAUGCCCAGAUUGGCAAUAUGUUUCAUACAGGUUGUGUCAGACUUAACGUGUACAUGAUUUAGAAAGAUUUGCACAGUGUGGUCAGCAUUUCAGCAGCAUUUCCAACUAUCCAGCAGCAUCUGGCUGCUAAUGUCAGAGAGUGUCUCUAAAAGCAGAAUGGCUGUUUGUUACUACCGAAAGCUACUCACAGCAGUAGAGUCAUUUGUGCAGGAGAUCAAAGCUCCCAAAAUCAGGAAAACAGCACUUCCACUUAUAACUGAAACAUAAUAAACUUCCCUUAUUUCUACUUUAUCAAGAAUGAUUUUUGAGCAAAUACAUGAUCCUCUAACUCUGUGCUUUUGUUCUGCUCAGACACUAUGGGAGAGAACAACGGAAUGUUAUCAGGCUUUAUUUCCAAAGGUCUCAUCAGCCUGGUGAGGAGCAGCCUGUCACCAAAUCCUUUAAGAUUUGCUUAGAAGAACUGAUAUUCUAAACAGGAAGAAAACCACAGCAGCAAUGGGCAAAAAAAGCACAGCGGUGGGGUUGUACUAGGUGUACAAAGAUACUUUCCUUCGAAGGGCAGGUCAUGCAAGGCCUCACAACACUGGGAUCCUUGCAAAAAAACUACAAAAGAUGUCAUGCUUGCUUCAAACUGCUUGUAGGUGAAACAACAGUUGGAUAAGGAGUACAAUAAACAGACUCCAGGCACUCCUCUGUGUCAACAAGUCCUGUUUCCUGUUCUCAAGGUGCCUGGGGACAGAAGCUGAAU
Non-coding RNA from Phalacrocorax carbo (great cormorant), 1004 nucleotides. The record is from RefSeq and is a predicted model, not a curated record. NCBI's taxonomy places the organism in Eukaryota, Metazoa, Chordata, Aves, Suliformes, Phalacrocoracidae.